GACGAACGCUGGCGGCGUGCUUAACACAUGCAAGUCGAACGGAAAGGCCUCUUUCGGGGGUUGCUCGAGUGGCGAACGGGUGAGUAACACGUAAGUAUCCUGCCCGUGACGUUGGGAUAACUUCGGAAAACGGGGGUUAUAACCCAUUAGGCGCGCCUGCGACAUUGGGGGGGUUGGAAAGUUUCGGCGUGUGGGGGUGGCUUCGCGGCGUAUCAGCGUUUUGGGGGGGUAGUGGGUUACAAAGGCGUUGCCGGGUAUCCGGACAGAGGGGGUGAGCGGCCACAUUGGGACUGAGAGACGGCACAGACUCCUACUGGUGGCCGAAGUGGGGAAGACUGAACCAUGGGUGGCAGCCGGAUGCAGAAACUCCGCGUGCGGGAAGACGGCCUUAGGGUUGUAAAACGGUUUCGAUCAUGAAGAAGCUUUGUGUGACGGUAGUGGGUAAAGAAGCACCGGCUAACUACGUG
This 467-nucleotide ribosomal RNA is filed under the name uncultured bacterium. Its description in RNAcentral is "partial 16S ribosomal RNA". It matches the Rfam family "Bacterial small subunit ribosomal RNA", at positions 28 to 507 of the family's 1533-position model. The record is from RNAcentral.